GCCGCGGGAGUGCCGAGUGGAGCGCAAGCUGGACUGUAGCCGGGAACAACGUGCGAUUUGGGAACGACCUGGAUAGUGCUGUCCCCGAGCCGACCAAUGCAGGUGCUCCGCUCCUAGCAGAAGAGGACGUGGAACAAGAAAGUACGUACCUCUAAUGUAGAAUGCAUGGCAUCGACACAUCGACAACGGCAUCGACAUCGACAUCGGCAUCGACACAGGCGGCAACUGUUGAACAUGAAAGAACUGAUGUUCUGAGGCUGGAACCGUUAAUUUCGUAGGCAAAUUAAGGCUUUGUAUGGAUUUCUACCUUCUAUGUUGUUCCAGUCUCAGAACAUCAGUUCUUUCAUGUUCAACAGUUGCCGCCUGCGUCGAUCCCGUCGUAUGAAUGCGUGUAUGAGUGAGCAAAAAUGUAAGAGUGAAAGGAGGAUGAGUGAGAGAGAGUGGCUGGUUUGUCCCUUCCGAUGACGUACCCUGGAAGUCGCUGAGAAGCCGUGUUAGCUUAGCGGAAUUGGUAGAGCCCUGGACCAGCAAUCCAGAAGAUGCCUACAGCUAGCUAGCCUUUUCAGUGACUUUCCUCUUUGAUCGUUAAUUUCUUAGGCAAAUUAAAGCUUUGUGUGUAUCUGUCCCUUCUAUGUUGUUCCAGCCUCGGAACAUCAGUUCUUCCAUAUUCUUCGCGUUCUGACGCAUGACAGAAUUCCUAUUCCGCACGUGCUGCACUCUUGCUAGGACAUUAGUUUUGUGGAGAAAGAGCACUUACUUGCAGAGCGACUCUAAUGAACUCGCGAAACUAUUUCUACAAUCAGUCUGUCAACUGUGAAGCAACCAGAAGGGUGGAACUCGACCGAACGCCCCGCCAUUUUGGAAACUAAGCCCAAAGUGGCGACACCGAGAUGCGCGCGUACAAAAUUUGAUUUCAAAACAUAGUCGAUCAAUAGGGGCGCGCAUAUGCUCUUGGCCAGUAGGCUCGCGACGUAUGUCGCGAGCCUACUGGCCAAUCGGAGCCUACUGCAAUCGGAGCCUACCGGCAAUCCAUCCACCAUAUGGUGGAUGGAUGCAGCGGUACAUACUCGACUACCGCGACAACGGGUACCUGAGGAGGACUGGUCCGGACAAGCUACAAGAGCGGUGACCUUGUUCUGUUAGAUCACAUUGGCAAAUUCCGAGUCUUCCUUUCCUAAGUACUUUAUUUUAUAUAUCACCAGCUACAACCUUUACUAAAGCCGCACCAAUGGGGAUGUAAAAGCAAGAGGGCGUAGACACAAAGGUUCCGACCCUGCCUGAAAGUACUUUGGUGACACUUGAUGCAUGUUCCACAGUUGAAGAAGGCCUCAUCUUAGGCACUAGCGUACCUCACUCUUCGUCUAGCAUUUCAUCUUCAUAGUACCAGCACGCCUGCUCUUAUGCUAUGUUAUCAUGUAUGCCCAUCCUAUUCUGAGUUUCGUUUCCGAUUCGGAGCUUUUUUCGC
Ornithodoros turicata is the source of this 1465-nucleotide long non-coding RNA. RefSeq lists it as uncharacterized. NCBI's taxonomy places the organism in Eukaryota, Metazoa, Arthropoda, Arachnida, Ixodida, Argasidae. The record is from RefSeq and is a predicted model, not a curated record. The transcript has 3 exons.